Molecule: long non-coding RNA, 1516 nt
Filed under: Pan troglodytes (chimpanzee)
Lineage: Eukaryota; Metazoa; Chordata; Mammalia; Primates; Hominidae
Description: long non-coding RNA NONPTRT000715
Source: RNAcentral
UGAUCCACCCCCCUUGGGCUCCCAAAGUCUUGAAAUUACAGGCGUGAGACACUGCGCCCAGCCAACUGGUGGUUUUAUAAAAAGAGCAGAGAAAUAUGAACAAUCAUGCGCAGCCCCUUCACCAUGGGAUGCCCUAUACCACCUGGGGACUCUGCAGAGAGUCCUCACCAGCAAGAAAGACCUCGCCAGAUGCAGCCACUCAAACUUGGACUUGUCAGCCUCCAUAAUUCUUGGCUUGAAGGAGUACUUUAGGACUCAGAACAACAGGAUGAAGACAGCAGCUAAAAUAGAACACACCAGCAGAGACAUUCAGCUCCUCGAGCUGUGCUUCCGAAGCUCGAGCAUGGCAGAGUGGCCUUGUUAAAUCAGAGUUCAGGGUGCCACCCUGACAGUUUCUGGUUCUGUAGGUGCCCAGUAGGGACCAAGAAUCCUUUUUUUUUUCCUUUUUCUUUUUAAUAGAGUCAGAGUCUUGCUGUGUUGCCCACAUGGGUCUCAAACUCAAGCAAUCCUCCCACCUCGACCUCCCAAAGCACUGGAAUUCCAGGCAUAAGCCACCGUGCCUGGCCAAGAACAUUUUUUUUUUUUUAACAAGUUUCUAAAUGAUGCUGGUCUACUGGUCCUGGGACCACACUUUGAAAUUGGUGGGAUAGGGGGCUGGGAUCUUUAUCCAUUCACUCAACUCCCAUUCCCCAUGGUUGAAAGUUUCCCUGGGGCAUCCCUGGGAGGCCUGGGGGCUGACAAGAUUCAAACUUUUUGGUGAAAAGCCCCAAGACAGUGAAGUGGGGUGUGCUUGAAGUGGGGCACCGUCAUCACCCACCUACCCACCACAGAGGUGGGCUAAAAGGUAAGGUGUGGCUCACAAAAAUCUUCUGCUAAAUACCUAUCUUUGCCUCCAUUUCUUCCUCUUUAAGACGGGGGUAACUGUACCAGUGUUCUAGGGUAACAUGUACCACCCUUGAAUACAGUGUUGCUCCCUGUCAUGACUCACGGACAGGUUACCAGACCGGAGCCUCCAGCAAUCCAGGAGCACAAACAAGGAUGCCUUAAAACAAAACUUGUGUCAGGGUACCCUUCGCUGCCUCAGAGGAAAUCAGAAUGACCUGGUGGACAACUGUUCAUAAGGACAAGAGCCAGCAUCACUGCCUUUGAGUCCCAGCCUCCUCAAAUCCAUUUUCUGCCCUGCACCACCUCAUCAUAUCCCAGAUAUUGUUAGUGUCGUGUCAUUUCAUGACUCAGGAGCUGCGGGUGACUUUGGUAAGAGCGGAGCGGUCGCUGUCUCAUCUGUCACCUCCUCCCUUCACCUCUGUGCAGCCAACAUCCAGGGAGCCUGCCUCUUGCUGUCCUUUUCAAAGCUUUCUGGGUCUCUCCUCUGUGCCUCUGAUCCAGUCUUUCAUGCUGCCCAGAACACUGUCUCUUUCUCCCAUGCCAGUGACAUCCAUUACUUUCUUCAAGGUCUGGCUCAAAACCCAGCACUCAGCCAGGCACGGUGGCUCACACCUGUAAUCCCACCACUUUG